AUUGAACGCUGGCGGCAUGCCUUACACAUGCAAGUCGAACGGUAACAGGUUAAGCUGACGAGUGGCGAACGGGUGAGUAAUAUAUCGGAACGUGCCCAGUCGUGGGGGAUAACUGCUCGAAAGAGCAGCUAAUACCGCAUACGACCUGAGGGUGAAAGCGGGGGAUCGCAAGACCACGCGCGAUUGGAGCAGCCGAUAUCAGGUUAGGUAGUUGGUGGGGUAAAGGCCCACCAAGCCAACGAUCUGUAGCUGGUCUGAGAGGACGACCAGCCACGCUGGGACUGAGACACGGCCCAGACUCCUACGGGAGGCAGCAGUGGGGCAUUUUGGACAAUGGGCGCAAGCCUGAUCCAGCCAUGCCGCGUGCGGGAAGAAGGCCUUCGGGUUGUAAACCGCUUUUGUCAGGGAAGAAAAGGUUCUGGUUAAUACCUGGGACUCAUGACGGUACCUGAAGAAUAAGCACCGGCUAACUACGUGCCAGCCGCCGCCGUAA
This 493-nucleotide ribosomal RNA is filed under the name uncultured bacterium. Its description in RNAcentral is "partial 16S ribosomal RNA". It matches the Rfam family "Bacterial small subunit ribosomal RNA", at positions 30 to 523 of the family's 1533-position model. The record is from RNAcentral.